ACGGGCGGGGGACGGGGACGACACACAGUCACUGUCCCCACCCUCCAGCUGGGAGCACCUGCUUUACCGUCUCUAUCCCCCCUUCCUGAGCCCCCGGUGUCCCCUUUUCCUGUCCUCGCUGUAGACUUCCCACUCGUGGAGGAGAAAGGGCGGGCAGCAGCAGCUGUCCUAGAUUUAUGAAUAUAAAGGCACAAGGCAACAUAAUGGUGCAGAGCCUAGUCUCUGAAGCUGGCAAUUUGAGUUUGAAUUCCCUUCUCUGCCUGUGUGAGCUGUGUGAGCUUGGGCCUCAUGCCCAGUGUGGAGUCCAAUGUG
This is a long non-coding RNA of Leptonychotes weddellii (Weddell seal), 312 nucleotides long. RefSeq lists it as uncharacterized. Lineage: Eukaryota; Metazoa; Chordata; Mammalia; Carnivora; Phocidae. The record is from RefSeq and is a predicted model, not a curated record.